UGCUCUAAGAGACGCCCAGGUAGUGGGUCACUUGCCUGAGUACAAUCGGUCGCAGUAUGAAGCUGUUGCUUGGUUCACACAUCACGCCAGGGUUGGAAUUGGACUAACGGUGUGAUCUCCCAGUAGCCGGGAUUCUCCAAUGAAUUAUGAAGCGACUAAGAAAACUGGCCCUUUGCCUGUUCAUAACUGUGGCCGUGUGUACAUGGUUCUGCAGCCAUAUUGGUCGCCUGUUUCUCCCACUUCAGCGAAUAUCACCAUGCCUGGCUGAAACCAGACCCUGUUGUGUUGAAAAGACCAACAUAUCGCUCGUACAACGCCAUGUAACAAAACCAGAAAAAAGUAGUUCUGUAGUGGAGGAUCUGUCAUUUCCGGUUGCGAGCGGUACCAUUUCCACGACUGUGGAUUUAAAUGCGAAUUUUCACUCCAAGAUAAAAAAGGUCUGGAUCCAGAGGCCGUGACGAUUUAUGAACAUGGACCGGAGUCAAUUUCACAUAUAUGGAAUUUAACACAGAAUAUAGUCUAUUCGCCGUAAGGUUUGGUAUCUCACACAAAGAGACGAGGGCUCUGAUAACAAAACCAAUGUGGUAUAUGACGCUGUGAAUAUAUUCACAUAUUGUUUAGGGAUGUUAGAAUAUAUCCAAUUGGUCUUAUUCUCAUAAUUGUUGAUGGUUCUGUGCUGUUUUUAGCAAUAUUAAAGCAAUAUCACCUCGGGGAACACCAGAACUUCACACAUUGUACCCAUGUGGGGAAUCGAACCUGGGUCUUCUAUGUGACGACCAAAGCUUUAAGCACUAGGCUAUCCCGCCGCCCCUUAAUCUAACAGAAGUUAGAUGGAUGGUGACAUGCUGCUCAUGUGAUCCAUACAUGAUAAAAUGUUUUUUCAAAAUUAUUUUUUGGGUGUGGGGUUGUUGUUUUGUUUUGUACACAGGAUUUAUUUGUUGACAAAAUUUUAUCAGAAGGAAACGUGAGCAUAGAAUGUAUAAAAACGAAUGGUGGUAUUUGCUUUGUAGACUAGCUUCAGCAGUUCAUAUGAGGUUUGUCUGUCUUGAAGAAUCUCAAGGAGAUCAAAACGGUAAUGUUGCCGUAGUUCCAAUGUCGUUCAUCUGCACACAGACAAUUUAUUAUACUACCUUUAUUCACAUGAUAAUUGUACCGGGUUCGGGUGGGGAUGGUUGAUGUCCCAUCCCAACCGUCAGUUUCAAGAAAUCUUGAGACAAAACGGAUUUAAAAAGAAAACUUUAACAAAUAAUAAAAGUCAAUGGAAAUC
This is a long non-coding RNA of Haliotis rubra (blacklip abalone), 1267 nucleotides long. RefSeq lists it as uncharacterized. The record is from RefSeq and is a predicted model, not a curated record. The transcript is spliced from 2 exons. NCBI's taxonomy places the organism in Eukaryota, Metazoa, Mollusca, Gastropoda, Lepetellida, Haliotidae.